Molecule: long non-coding RNA, 453 nt
Organism: Etheostoma cragini (Arkansas darter)
Lineage: Eukaryota; Metazoa; Chordata; Actinopteri; Perciformes; Percidae
Exons: 2
Source: RefSeq, a predicted model, not a curated record
AUUCCACCAAAUAUCCCUCAUUUUACUGUGUAUUUUUGGUUUUGGUUUGUUUGCUGUUAAUUUAAUGAAGGGACUUGUUCAUGUAAUUUACAUGGGAAAUGCGCCCUCUGCUGGGCGUUUUGGGAAUGUACUGUUUGUUUUCCCGGAUCUCGUCAGACGGUGUUGGAUCUGGCCGAGAGCGGCGUGUGUUGAGGGCGAAUGAGCAACGCUGUUUUCUUUCUCUAAAACACUGAACAGAGCAUUAAACGUCCUGUGCCAAGGCCUGAGUUUCCAGUCGUCUUCACUCUAGACACAACGCAGGUAACCGGUACUGAGGCCAGACCGGUUACAUUGGUGCCGUGACCCGGAUCCAUCGUGGAUCAACACCAGCUUGGUCGCCGGAGGUUGCUGAAGGCUAUCGCAAGGUUUUUUUGUGGAACUUGCACUGAAGUGAUUUUGUCACAGUUAAAAGAA